This is a non-coding RNA of Chelonoidis abingdonii (Abingdon island giant tortoise), 213 nucleotides long. The record is from RefSeq and is a predicted model, not a curated record. Lineage: Eukaryota; Metazoa; Chordata; Testudines; Testudinidae.
ACUUGGAGAGUGGUUGGCUAUGGGUGGAAAAGUAUGGAAGAGGUUUUUUGCGAGGGUGGGGAGGAUCGUCAGGGAACUUCCCCCAUACAGACCCUGGCUGACCCCUAGCCUCUCCCAUUGAGUCAGGCACAUUUGCCCCUGUCCCCAUGUAUCCCUGCACUACCAUGUAUCCUUGCACCCCCUGUCUUCAUGUCCCCAAAUCCACUUAGACAC